UUGGAGGGCAAGUCUGGUGCCAGCAGCCGCGGUAAUUCCAGCUCCAAUGGCGUAUAUUAAAGUUGUUGCAGUUAAAAAGCUCGUAGUUGAAUUUCGGGGUUAGUAGGUUGGUCAUGCCUCUGGUAUGUACUGGUCUCACUGAUUCCUCCUUCCUGAUGAGCCGUAAUGCCAUUAAUUUGGUGUUGCGGGGAAUUUGGACUGUUACUUUGAAAAAAUUAGAGUGUUUAAAGCAAGCUAACGCUUGAAUACAUUAGCAUGGAAUAAUGAAAUAGGACGUUCGAUCCUAUUUUGUUGGUUUCUAGGAUUGACGUAAUGAUUAAUAGGGAUAGUUGGGGGCAUUAGUAUUCAAUUGUCAGAGGUGAAAUUCUUGGAUUUAUUGAAGACUAACUACUGCGAAAGCAUUUGCCAAGGAUGUUUUCAUUAAUCAAGAACGAAAGUUAGGGGAUCGAAGACGAUCAGAUACCGUCGUAGUCUUAACCAUAAACUAUGCCGACUAGGGAUCGGAUGAUGUUAAUUUUUUAAUGACUCAUUCGGCGCCUUACGGGAAAC
Molecule: ribosomal RNA, 549 nt
Filed under: uncultured Glomeromycotina
Lineage: Eukaryota; Fungi; Glomeromycota
Description: SSU rRNA
Rfam family: Eukaryotic small subunit ribosomal RNA
Source: RNAcentral